Molecule: long non-coding RNA, 2674 nt
Organism: Passer domesticus (house sparrow)
Lineage: Eukaryota; Metazoa; Chordata; Aves; Passeriformes; Passeridae
Exons: 4
Source: RefSeq, a predicted model, not a curated record
AGCCCCGAUGCCCCAAAUAAUAUAGCUCUGUAGUCACUCCUGACUUCCAUGUCAAGUCAGCCCAGCUUUCCUCUGGGAAUAAAUAAUCUGUAGCAGUUCUCAUCGGCAGGCAGCCAGCCUCCUUCUCAGGAAAAGUCCAAUGUCUUUGAGGUUUUCUAUCCUGUCAGGCACUAAGAAUAAGCUCUGCACCACAGGAGGUAAGCAGAUAAAGGCUAAAGCAAGGUACUGGAUAAAGGCUCCAGCUGUCCCAGGAGAUUUGUUUUCUUCCUCACACACCACCUUCAUCUCAAGGAAGGUCUCAAGAAUAGAAACACAGCAAGAUGGAGACUGAGCAGAGCCACAAGUCCAAGGCUUGGGGUGAGACACAGCAGCAUGGCGAAGGAUCAAUGCCAGUUGACUCCAAGACUGACCUGCUGCUGGCCAAGGCAGAGCCCACCAGUGACCGUGGUAGUACAUCUGGGAUAACACACUUUAAAAAGGGGGAAGUUAAACCCUGCACAACAUCAGCAGCUGCCAGAAGAGGGGAGUGAGAAUAUGUGAGAGAAAAAAACACUGUGAACACCAAGAUCAAUGAAGAAGGAAAGGAAGGAGGUGCUCCAGGUGCCAGAACAGACAUUUCCCUGAAGCCUCUGGAGGACCUCAUGCCAGACCAGGUGGAUGCACCCAAAGGAUGUUGUGAUCACCUGAAAAGAGAAACCCCUGCUGGAGAAGGCUUGCUGGCAGGACUUGUGACUCCACAUGGAACCCAUGCUGGAGCAGCCUGUUCCUGUAGGACUGCACCCCAUGGAAGCGACCCACACUGGAGAAGUUUGUUUAGAUCUGCAGGCUGUGGGAAGGACACAGGUUGGAGAAGUUCAUGAAGGACAGUCUCCCAUGGGAGGGACCCCACAGUGGAGCAGAAGAGUGUGAGUAGUUCUCCCCCUGAAGAAGAGUUAGUAGCAGAGACAGCAUGUGAUAAACAGACCACAAUCCCCAUUUCCAUACCCCUGCGCUACUGGGGGGAAUGAGGUGGAGAAGUUAGGAUUAAAAUUAGGCCCAUGAAGAAGAGAGGGGUGGGAGAAAAUGUUUUUAAGGUAUGGGUUAUUCAGUGUUACCCUAUUCUUGAUUUGAUUGGCAAUGAAUUAAAUUAAUUUAAUUGAAUCAUAAAAUAGUUUGAGUUGGAAGCGACCUCAAAGGUCAUCUGUUUCCAACUCCAUGCCAUGGGCAGAGACGGCACCCACUAGACCAGCUUGCUCAAAGCCCCACUCAAUUUGCUGUCUUUCUGCAAAUUUCUCUGGGCAACCAGCAUCUCAUCAACCUCACAAUAAGGAAUCUCUGUCUAAUAUCUGAGCUAAACCUAUCCUCUUUCAGUUUAAGCCAUCCCCCCCUUGUCCUAUCACUACAUGCUUUUGUAGAAUGUCCCUCUCCAGCUCUCUUGUAAGCUCCCUGUAGGUACUGGAGGUCUGCUGUUAGGUCUCCCUGGAGCCUUCUCUUCUGAGGCUGAAUAAUCCCAAUUCUCUCAGUCAGUCUUCCUGGGAGGGGGGCCCCAGACUUCUUAUCAUUUUUGUUGCAUUCACCUGAACCUCCUCUAACAGGUGAGUGAAUAUCUUUCUUACACUGAGGACCCCCCAGCUUUAAACAGAAGAAAGCAAGUCCUAACUUGGCCCAAACUUCUUCAGCUUCUAAAGCCUUCCUCAGAGAUUUGUGUUCAUCUGCUGAUAACCAGGGUCUCUUGGCCUAAAGGUUCAAAUUUCUACAGCAUCUACAUAGCAAUUUGACUUCAAGAUGCAGCUGGAUAUAUUUUCAUUGAAUAGUAAAAUAGUUAGCAGGUGCUUAUGCUUUGGAUAUGCCAUUCCUCACAAAAAAACUUUUAUAAAUGGAUAAAGGGAAUUCACACCCUAAUGCUGGUGACAUUUCUUCUUUUCCACAUAUACUGCAUUUACAGCCUAAUCAAAUAACUGUUCUCAGGCCAUGCUUUUUCAGCAGCCAGUCCUUCAGAAAUAAGAUCACUGAAAUAAAGAGUUACAGCUCACAUGCAGCACAAGGAGAGGUCCUGGUAGAGUGAAAGCAGUUUAUCUUCAACAAAAAGAAGAAAGACAUAAACACUUCUUUUGCUACCAACAACUAAUCAGAUAAACUUUCCAGUGGCAGUCUUCGAAAGUAAAGACACUAAGUUUGCUAGAAAUCAAGGGCAAGCACAGCAGCUAAAUUAUCUAUCCACCCACAUCUUUGCAUGAAAUUUCUACUUGAACGUUAUUAAUCAUUCAUGCCAUUGUUAACUUCUCUAUGGUGUGUUUGCUUUUCCCCUAUCAAUAUAUGCAUAAAUCUCUCUAAUUAAUACUAAUAUAAAUGUUUACUAUGGGAAGCCAGACAUUGGCUACACUGAAUUUCUAAUUCAGCUAAACAAAGUUACAGAUAUCAUUCAAAAAAGGGAAAAAAAUUACAACAUUUUAGUCCCCUAAAUUUUAGAAAUAUUUUUAGUAAACCAAUUGUGGGAUCUUGUGCAUUUCAAUCAUGGGGCUACCUAAGAGAUUUUUGACAUCCUUGCUAAACUAUAUUCCUUUUCAGAUGGAUAUCAGCAAAUACAUUUGGUCAACAAUAUAAAAACUUGCAAAUGUUUAAUGAAUUAUUUUAAGACUGAAAUAGUAUGAAUAGGAGAAAACCUCUCUGGGAGCUGAGUUCCAUAUAUACUUCU